GCGAACGGGUGAGUAACACGUGAGUAACCUGCCCUUGACUCUGGGAUAAGCCUGGGAAACUGGGUCUAAUACCGGAUACGACCAUCUGGCGCAUGUCAUGGUGGUGGAAAGCUUUUGUGGUUUUGGAUGGACUCGCGGCCUAUCAGCUUGUUGGUGGGGUAAUGGCCUACCAAGGCGACGACGGGUAGCCGGCCUGAGAGGGUGACCGGCCACACUGGGACUGAGACACGGCCCAGACUCCUACGGGAGGCAGCAGUGGGGAAUAUUGCACAAUGGGCGAAAGCCUGAUGCAGCGACGCCGCGUGAGGGAUGACGGCCUUCGGGUUGUAAACCUCUUUCAGUAGGGAAGAAGCGAAAGUGACGGUACCUGCAGAAGAAGCGCCGGCUAACUACGUGCCAGCAGCCGCGGUAAUACGUAGGGCGCAAGCGUUAUCCGGAAUUAUUGGGCGUAAAGAGCUCGUAGGCGGUUUGUCGCGUCUGCUGUGAAAGACCGGGGCUCAACUCCGGUUCUGCAGUGGGUACGGGCAGACUAGAGUGCAGUAGGGGAGACUGGAAUUCCUGGUGUAGCGGUGAAAUGCGCAGAUAUCAGGAGGAACACCGAUGGCGAAGGCAGGUCUCUGGGCUGUAACUGACGCUGAGGAGCGAAAGCAUGGGGAGCGAACAGGAUUAGAUACCCUGGUAGUCCAUGCCGUAAACGUUGGGCACUANGUGUGGGGGGACAUUCCACGUUUUCCGCGCCGUANCUAACGCA
RNAcentral lists this ribosomal RNA (751 nucleotides) under Arthrobacter sp. LCK-2009.3y. RNAcentral's name for it is "bacterial SSU rRNA". It matches the Rfam family "Bacterial small subunit ribosomal RNA", at positions 98 to 859 of the family's 1533-position model. The record is from RNAcentral. Lineage: Bacteria; Bacillati; Actinomycetota; Actinomycetes; Micrococcales; Micrococcaceae.